RNAcentral lists this transfer RNA (76 nucleotides) under Alphaproteobacteria bacterium. RNAcentral describes it as "tRNA-Phe". It matches the Rfam family "tRNA". From Rfam's summary of the family: Transfer RNA (tRNA) molecules are approximately 80 nucleotides in length. Lineage: Bacteria; Pseudomonadati; Pseudomonadota; Alphaproteobacteria. RNAcentral also lists the same sequence under 1 other name. The record is from RNAcentral.
GCCCAGGUAGCUCAGUCGGUAGAGCAGAGGACUGAAAAUCCUCGUGUCGCUGGUUCGAUUCCGGCCCUGGGCACCA